Molecule: ribosomal RNA, 433 nt
Filed under: uncultured bacterium
Lineage: Bacteria
Description: partial 16S ribosomal RNA
Rfam family: Bacterial small subunit ribosomal RNA
Source: RNAcentral
AACGAACGCUGGCGGCAUGCCUAACACAUGCAAGUCGAACGAGACCUUCGGGUCUAGUGGCGCACGGGUGCGUAACGCGUGGGAACCUGCCCUUAGGUUCGGAAUAACUCCCCGAAAGGGGUGCUAAUACCGGAUAAUGUCCUCGGACCAAAGAUUUAUCGCCUUUGGAUGGGCCCGCGUUGGAUUAGCUAGUUGGUAGGGUAAAAGCCUACCAAGGCGACGAUCCAUAGCUGGUCUGAGAGGAUGAUCAGCCACACUGGGACUGAGACACGGCCCAGACUCCUACGGGAGGCAGCAGUGGGGAAUAUUGGACAAUGGGCGAAAGCCUGAUCCAGCAAUGCUGCGUGAGUGAUGAAGGCCUUAGGGUUGUAAAGCUCUUUUACCCGGGAUGAUAAUGACAGUACCGGGAGAAUAAGCUCCGGCUAACUCCGUG